RNAcentral lists this long non-coding RNA (261 nucleotides) under Vigna radiata. RNAcentral describes it as "long non-coding RNA (VRAD_LNC001492)". Lineage: Eukaryota; Viridiplantae; Streptophyta; Magnoliopsida; Fabales; Fabaceae. The record is from RNAcentral.
UCGGAGAUAACAUUAAUUUGAUAAUGAGUAAUUUUGGUAAUGAACAGUGUAUGAAGGGUUUCGAGUAUGUGGUAUAUAUGGAGGUGUGAGCUAGGAGAUGAAGAAGAAGGAAGUAUAGGUGAAAUGGAAAAAUGUAAAAGAGAAAAAAGAAAUAGUUAAUUUAUGCUUGGUUGAGAUGCUUUUUUUCUUCUUCCUUAUGCAUGAUGUGUGAAGUAAUGUAAAUGGCUAUGUAGCCAUGCAUGCAAAUGGUCUCCUCACAUA